This 696-nucleotide ribosomal RNA is filed under the name endophytic bacterium WL4b. Its description in RNAcentral is "bacterial SSU rRNA". It matches the Rfam family "Bacterial small subunit ribosomal RNA", at positions 794 to 1490 of the family's 1533-position model. The record is from RNAcentral.
CCAAUUUCGAAAACGAUGUCGACUUGGAGGCUGUGAGCAUGACUCGUGGCUUCCGGAGCUAACGCGUUAAGUCGACCGCCUGGGGAGUACGGCCGCAAGGUUAAAACUCAAAUGAAUUGACGGGGGCCCGCACAAGCGGUGGAGCAUGUGGUUUAAUUCGAUGCAACGCGAAGAACCUUACCUGCUCUUGACAUCCACGGAAUUCGGCAGAGAUGCCUUAGUGCCUUCGGGAACCGUGAGACAGGUGCUGCAUGGCUGUCGUCAGCUCGUGUUGUGAAAUGUUGGGUUAAGUCCCGCAACGAGCGCAACCCUUAUCCUUUGUUGCCAGCGAUUCGGUCGGGAACUCAAAGGAGACUGCCGGUGAUAAACCGGAGGAAGGUGGGGAUGACGUCAAGUCAUCAUGGCCCUUACGAGCAGGGCUACACACGUGCUACAAUGGCGCAUACAAAGAGAAGCGACCUCGCGAGAGCAAGCGGACCUCACAAAGUGCGUCGUAGUCCGGAUCGGAGUCUGCAACUCGACUCCGUGAAGUCGGAAUCGCUAGUAAUCGUGGAUCAGAAUGCCACGGUGAAUACGUUCCCGGGCCUUGUACACACCGCCCGUCACACCAUGGGAGUGGGUUGCAAAAGAAGUAGGUAGCUUAACCUUCGGGAGGGCGCUUACCACUUUGUGAUUCAUGACUGGGGUGAAGUCGAA